UAGAAUUUGAUUUGCAUCUCUGAGAUCAAUUGGAAUAAGCCCUGUUACUCAAUAGGACUGCAUCCAAUCAAUCCAAAGCCAAUCUAAUUGAAUCCAAUUCAAUUAGAUCUAAUCCAAUCUUUAUUGCUCAAUCAAAUUGAAUCAAUUAACAAUCAUAUUGUUAAUUAAUUAUUUUUUAAUUUAUCAAUCAUUAGUAAAUAAUUUAUUGCAAUAUUUACAUAAGAUUAAUCAUCAAUCAAAUUGAUAAUUAAACCCUUCAACGAUUCAUAAUCGUCGAUCAGCCAUU
This 286-nucleotide long non-coding RNA is filed under the name Elaeis guineensis (African oil palm). RNAcentral's name for it is "long non-coding RNA (EGUI_LNC061063)". Lineage: Eukaryota; Viridiplantae; Streptophyta; Magnoliopsida; Arecales; Arecaceae. The record is from RNAcentral.